AUAAUAAUUAGUUUUUUAAUUGGAAACUAGAAUGAAUGAUUAGAUAAAAUAUGUGCUUUUUUUUAUUAAAUUUAAUAAAAUUUAAAUUUUUAAUUAAAAAGUUAAAAUUUAUUAAAAAGACGAGAAGACCCUAUAGAUUUUUAUUUAAUUAAUAAAAUUUAUUUUAAAUUAAUUAAAUUUUAUUGGGGGGAUAAUAAAAUUUAAAAAACUUUUAUUAAUUUAAACAUUUAUUUAUGAUUUUUAAUAUUUUAAACUAUUGUGCUUAAUAAAUAAAGAUUAAAAUACCUUAGGGAUAACAGCAUAAUUUUAAUUUUAAGAUCUUAUUUGAAUUAAAGAUUGU
This 340-nucleotide ribosomal RNA is filed under the name Atanatolica botosaneanui. Its description in RNAcentral is "partial 16S ribosomal RNA". Lineage: Eukaryota; Metazoa; Arthropoda; Insecta; Trichoptera; Leptoceridae. The record is from RNAcentral.